This 158-nucleotide ribosomal RNA is filed under the name Fayodia gracilipes. RNAcentral's name for it is "5.8S ribosomal RNA". It matches the Rfam family "5.8S ribosomal RNA". Rfam says of the family: 5.8S ribosomal RNA (5.8S rRNA) is a component of the large subunit of the eukaryotic ribosome. It is transcribed by RNA polymerase I as part of the 45S precursor that also contains 18S and 28S rRNA. Functionally, it is thought that 5.8S rRNA may be involved in ribosome translocation. RNAcentral also lists the same sequence under 1 other name. The record is from RNAcentral. Lineage: Eukaryota; Fungi; Basidiomycota; Agaricomycetes; Agaricales; Fayodiaceae.
CAACUUUCAACAACGGAUCUCUUGGCUCUCGCAUCGAUGAAGAACGCAGCGAAAUGCGAUAAGUAAUGUGAAUUGCAGAAUUCAGUGAAUCAUCGAAUCUUUGAACGCACCUUGCGCCCCUUGGUAUUCCGAGGGGCACGCCUGUUUGAGUGUCAUUA